AAAAAAGGGAAGAGAAAGGUCAGCGUUCAGUGGGUUGUGCCUACCUCUGCUGCCACGACCUGCUUCGGAUAUUUCUUCUUCUUUCCUCCCCUGAAUUAAGCUGCACUCUGCAAGCCCCUUAGAAGAUGCCCUGGGCCAUGAUCUGGACUGGCACAACAGCAGAAAUAUUUAACAAAAUUCAAGUCAGA
Oxyura jamaicensis (ruddy duck) is the source of this 188-nucleotide long non-coding RNA. RefSeq lists it as uncharacterized. The record is from RefSeq and is a predicted model, not a curated record. The transcript has 3 exons. Lineage: Eukaryota; Metazoa; Chordata; Aves; Anseriformes; Anatidae.